This 490-nucleotide ribosomal RNA is filed under the name uncultured bacterium. RNAcentral's name for it is "partial 16S ribosomal RNA". It matches the Rfam family "Bacterial small subunit ribosomal RNA", at positions 30 to 507 of the family's 1533-position model. The record is from RNAcentral.
AUUGAACGCUGGCGGCAUGCCUAACACAUGCAAGUCGAACGGUAACAGAAGGAGGUUUGCUCUCUUGCGUACGCGUCGCGCACGGGUGUGUAAUGUCUGUGACACUCCCAGAUGGAUGGGGUUAACUACUGGAACCGGUACCUAAACCCGCAUAACUUCGCAACCCCAAAGUGGGGGACUUUCGGGCCUCCUUCCAGCCGCUGUGCCCAGAUGGGAUUAGCUUGUUGGUGGGGUAACGGCUUACCAAGGCGACGAUCCAUAGCUGAUCUGAGAGGAUGACCAGCCACACUGGAACUGAGACACGGUCCAGACUCCUACGGGAGGCAGCAGUAGGGAAUAUUGCGCAAUGGGCGAAAGCCUGAUGGAGCCAUGCCGCGUGUAUGAAGAAGGCCUUCGGAUUGUAAAGUUCUUUUAGCGGGGAAGAAGAGAGUAAAAUUAAUACGUGUGCUCAUUGACGUUACCCGAAGAAAAAGCACCGGCUAACUCCGUG